CUACGGGAUGCUCCAGUGAGGAAUUUUGCGCAAUGGGGGAAACCCUGACGCAGCAACGCCGCGUGAGUGAUGAAGGCUUUCGGGUCGUAAAGCUCUGUCAAGUGGGAGGAAUCUGUUUUAUGCUAAUAUCAUAAAGCACUGACGGUACCACUGAAGGAAGCACCGGCUAACUCCGUGCCAGCAGCCGCGGUAAUACGGAGGGUGCAAGCGUUACUCGGAAUCACUGGGCGUAAAGGGCGCGCAGGCGGUCCGAUUAGUCAGAUGUGAAAGCCCGGGGCUUAACCCCGGAAGUGCAUUUGAAACUGUCGGACUUGAGUAUGGGAGAGGGAAGUGGAAUUCCUGGUGUAGAGGUGAAAUUCGUAGAUAUCAGGAGGAACACCGGUGGCGAAGGCGACUUCCUGGACCAAUACUGACGCUGAGGCGCGAAGGCGUGGGUAGCAAACAGGAUUAGAUACCCUCGUAGUC
Molecule: ribosomal RNA, 465 nt
Filed under: uncultured bacterium
Lineage: Bacteria
Description: partial 16S ribosomal RNA
Rfam family: Bacterial small subunit ribosomal RNA
Source: RNAcentral